GCAAAGGAAUCCAAAAAUUCAACAAGAAUGCCAUUUAUAAGGUGAGGCAUAAGCAGCAAUGCUUGUGUAAAUACACCAAAAUAUGCAGGAUGCACUGAAGGAAAAUUACGGAAACGUUUGGAAGCACAGUGCAGAUGCCAUUUCAUACCGUAGCACCAAUGAUACUGUUACUAUAAAAACGGAAAUGAGUCAUUGAUUGCAACAAUGAAGAGCUCAGGGAACAGUGGAGCUCGAUAUUACAGCGCAAUAUCCCCAGUGAGUCGUCACAACAGCAUCUGAAUGAAGAGGACUACACACAAAUGCUCAUUACCUCAGAAAGGAGAGAAAAGUUCUUGUCAAGUGAUGGGCAGUUUGUGGAACUUUCUGAAGUCGGCAGACGUAC
This is a long non-coding RNA of Carcharodon carcharias (great white shark), 382 nucleotides long. RefSeq lists it as uncharacterized. The transcript has 4 exons. The record is from RefSeq and is a predicted model, not a curated record. Lineage: Eukaryota; Metazoa; Chordata; Chondrichthyes; Lamniformes; Lamnidae.